Molecule: ribosomal RNA, 460 nt
Filed under: uncultured bacterium
Lineage: Bacteria
Description: partial 16S ribosomal RNA
Rfam family: Bacterial small subunit ribosomal RNA
Source: RNAcentral
CCUACGGUGGGCAGCAGUGAGGAAUAUUGGUCAAUGGGCGCGAGCCUGAACCAGCCAAGUAGCGUGAAGGAUGACUGCCCUACGGGUUGUAAACUUCUUUUAUAAAGGAAUAAAGUGAGGCACGUGUGCCUUUUUGUAUGUACUUUAUGAAUAAGGAUCGGCUAAAUCCGUGCCCGCAGCCGCGGUAAUACGGAGGAUCCGAGGGUUAUCCGGAUUUAUUGGGGUUAAAGGGAGCGUAGAUGGGUUUAUAAGUCAGGUGUGAAAGUUUGCGGCUCAACCGUAAAAUUGCAAUUGAUACUGGCAGUCUUGAGUACAGUUGAGGUAGGCGGAAUUCGUGGUGUAGCGGUGAAAUGCUUAGAUAUCACGAAGAACUCCGAUUGCGAAGGCAGCUUACUAAACUGCCACUGACAUUGAUGCUCGAAAGUGUGGGUAUCAAACAGGAUUAGAUACCCGAGUAGUC